CAGUCGCCGCGGGAAUACGAAGGGGGCUAGCGUUGUUCGGAAUUACUGGGCGUAAAGCGCACGUAGGCGGAUACUUAAGUCAGGGGUGAAAUCCCGGGGCUCAACCCCGGAACUGCCUUUGAUACUGGGUAUCUCGAGUCCGGAAGAGGUGAGUGGAAUUCCGAGUGUAGAGGUGAAAUUCGUAGAUAUUCGGAGGAACACCAGUGGCGAAGGCGGCUCACUGGUCCGGUACUGACGCUGAGGUGCGAAAGCGUGGGGAGCAAACAGGAUUAGAUACCCCAGUAGUCCCUGUCUCUUAUAC
RNAcentral lists this ribosomal RNA (301 nucleotides) under uncultured bacterium. RNAcentral's name for it is "partial 16S ribosomal RNA". It matches the Rfam family "Bacterial small subunit ribosomal RNA", at positions 509 to 807 of the family's 1533-position model. The record is from RNAcentral.